Molecule: long non-coding RNA, 846 nt
Organism: Pungitius pungitius (ninespine stickleback)
Lineage: Eukaryota; Metazoa; Chordata; Actinopteri; Perciformes; Gasterosteidae
Exons: 3
Source: RefSeq, a predicted model, not a curated record
UGGGUUGAGACUCUGGUGCCUCUCUACCUCCUCCUCUGCAUCCUGGGGUCCCUCUCAGCCGCACCGGCCGCCCUGUCGAUGAUGGAGGUUGAAUGCUGUCUGCAACACGAUAAGAUCCACGUGCCCAAAAACAAGGUGAUCCACAUCAAGAUGUCCUCAGGGGACUGCUCAAUCAAGGCCAUCAUAAUCACAACUGAAAAGAGGAAGUUUUGCAUCGAUUCUGAAUCGACUUUUGCAAAGAGACAGUUGGCAGCAUUUCAGAAGCGACUUGGUACUACUACAACUGCUGGUACUUCACGUCCCAGAAAUGUAAUGACGUCCAGCUCCUUUGUGCUUCGUGAUGCCACGCAGAGCACAACCAUUCACCGAUGAUCACACAGAAAACCAACCAAACGUUUAUGUGCUAUUGAAAUGUAUUUUUAUAUGUCAAACAGGACAUGACUCAAUAUUCAUCACUCUGCAAAUGACUCCUGUGUUUUAAUGUAUUACUUUCAGAUGACAAGAUGUAUAAAUGCUACAAGCUGUACAAGCCCUUUCAAAAUAAAAGCUUUAUUUUUUGCAUUAAAUGUUCAGCUCUCCUUAUUUUGGAGGAACAAAGACGAAGGCAGAGCAAAACGAUGUCAUUUAAAAAAGGGAAAUGUCCACUUCGACAGGUUGAAGGUACUCGUGUAUAAUAAUGGAGUACUUUCCUUCAGUAUUUCCAUUCUUUGCUUCUUUAGGCUCAGAAAAGAGGAGGCGUAGGAUAACAGGUGCCUGUCAGUGAAUUCAUAAUGUCUCCAUUGUUUGUGGUCUGAGGGGAAGUGAUGGUGCCACCGGUGCAUCGUGUAUUCUUUUAUAAUACGGGUA